This 71-nucleotide transfer RNA is filed under the name Triticum aestivum (bread wheat). RNAcentral's name for it is "tRNA_PseudoGTC". The record is from RNAcentral. Lineage: Eukaryota; Viridiplantae; Streptophyta; Magnoliopsida; Poales; Poaceae.
GUCAUUGUAGUAUAGUGGUAAGUAUUCCUGCCUGUCACGCGGGUGACCCGGGUUCGAUCCCCUUCUUUGUA